CUGUGCGACAGGCAUUGAGGCAGCGAGCGCAGAGAUGGCUUUAGGGAUGGAGAUGCUGCUUGAGGAGCCCGCAGAUAAGUUUUUCUAUUAAAAAAGAUAGGCGUUAGUGUAUUUCUUUAGGGAUUAUAAGUAGUGAAAAUACGGAGAUACUGCUUUGCAUUAAGUUCUUAGAUAAAUUUUAGGGAAAAUAUGAAGACUUAAAGAGUAGUUGGAGAAAGGAAGAGGGAAGAAAAAAGAUAAUUUUAGAACCUGAGGGAGGUUAAGAGCUGAAAUUUUUUCAUGGAGUGAAAAAUUUAAAAGAAUUGAUGAGCUAGGACUGCAAUGUCUGGAUUUUUUUUUUAAAGCCUUAACUUGAAGGGCAACCUUUUACCUUAACAUUAAAACGUUGGGUUACGUAAAUCGAACCUAAACGUUUUAAAAGGUUGAGUUGUAGGUGAUUAAAAUACUACAAAGGCCAUCUUAAGAUUUAACUGAAGGUGGUUUCAGAAAUAAUGCCUUCAGAUUCACGGCGCAGUAAAAAUGGCGUCAUUUGAAGCCUGCUUGAUACUAAGGCUUUGUUUGGCUAAAGUUGACGGAAAUAUUAGGAAUGGUAGGAAAGAAAAUUGGAAGUUUGAAGUGGAAAAUUCGGAAGACAGAAGUACAGGAAGGUGAAGAAAAAACUAGAGAAGAUAAGAGAUACACGUUUUAGAAGAUAAAACCUGAGCCUAGUAAGUAGGCAGAAAAAGACAAAUCUAGGAGAAAAUUGAAAAUACGGUCGAGUGCUUAAGAUAGAAUGAAAAGAAAGCUAUUGGACGCAAACAUACAAGAUAGACGUCCAAAAAUUUAGAUAGUUCAAAAUCAAUAAUGUUGGAUAAAUUACAGGAACAAAAACUAAGGAAAUUUUUAUAGCCAAUAAGAAUUUAUUGUAAAAGCCCAUCAACUUAUUUCUGGUGGUGCAAAAGUUAGAUCUCAGAAGAUGAGGGUUUUUUUUUUUAAAACUACUGUAGACCAGGACCAACUUAGAAGAAAAUCCGGAAACUAGGAGAGUCAAUUUAAAAUCUCAGCAAAAAGUUACUGAAGGGGACUGAAGUAACUUAAAAGUUAAGAAUGUAUUUGGGAGAGUUAAAAAUCUGAAAGGCCUUAAAUGCGGUAGCGUAGUUUCCUUUGGAAAAUGUAAAGGACUUUAUAAGUGAAUUAAAUUGAAGAGCAAGAAUAACCAUCGAGUUAUUGGACUUUGAGCUAAGAUGAAUGUUUAAAUCCUGAGGACUAGGCGCUAAAUAACAGCUGACGCAGGUGCUACGCAGAAGUGGAUUCAGUGAAGCUAGGAAGACAGGAGCGGCAGACAGGAUUCGGAGCCAGUGUUGGUGAAAACUAGGACUGAGGAGCCAGCGGCAGUUCGUGAAGAUAGGAAAGAGAAGCCCGGGAGCCAGUGCGACUUGGUGAAGGAAGCUAGGAAGAAGGAGCGAGUCCUAACGAUUUGGAGGUGAAGCUAGGAGAGGAUUCCAGGAAGGAGGAAGCCAGUGCGGUGUGGUGAAGCUAGCGUGCGGCUUGGCUUGGCAACCACGCGGAGGCGGCGAGCAGGCGGAGUGGAGGAUAGAUAGAGGAUCCUAGAGCAGCAGACCAGUGUACGAGCCCCGCAGGGAGAGCCAGUGGUGUGGUAAAAAUCCGUGAAGUCGGCACUAUCGUGGGUUUUUUUUCCUCCUGUAACUCAGUAUGGUAAUAUCUCUUAUUAAAUUUUCCUAAUAGUAAUGGGGGAGUUGUGUACUUAAGCAUAAAGGGGAUUUUAUUACGGGGAUGUAGGCCGGUUUUCGGGUGUCGUAGGUUUCUCUUUUUCAGGCCUAUUUUCUCAUGCAUCUUGUCUGGAGCUUUUGAGGGCAGACUUCAAGGCCCGGAGGAAUGGUAGAUGGUCUGUCUAGAAUUCCAAAGGCAAAUGACUCGAGGUAACAGGCGAAAAGAAAAUCCAAUAUCAGGAUAAUCAGAACACUGCAGGUUUACAGUUAUAGAAACUCUAGCACAAGCAGCUUUCACUUUGAGGUCUGUGGCGCAGCUGUCCAUUGGAGUAAUGGCUGGUAGUUUAUUCUUUUUUUCCCCACCCCUUUAUUAAAUAUUUUUAUAAAGUACGUAACUGGUUAUUUUUACUUAAAUAUUUUGGGGUGGUGUGAACAG
This is a long non-coding RNA of Bos taurus (domestic cattle), 2145 nucleotides long. The record is from Ensembl. NCBI's taxonomy places the organism in Eukaryota, Metazoa, Chordata, Mammalia, Artiodactyla, Bovidae.